GACGAACGCUGGCGGCGUGCUUAACACAUGCAAGUCGAACGUGAUUUUUGUGGAAAUUCUUUCGGGAAUGGAAAUGAAAUGAAAGUGGCGAACGGGUGAGUAGCACGUGAGCAACCUACCUUACACAGGGGGAUAGCCGUUGGAAACGACGAUUAAUACCGCAUGAGACCACAGAAUCGCAUGAUAUAGGGGUCAAAGAUUUAUCGGUGUAAGAAGGGCUCGCGUCUGAUUAGCUAGUUGGAAGGGUAAAGGCCUACCAAGGCGACGAUCAGUAGCCGGUCUGAGAGGAUGAACGGCCACAUUGGAACUGAGACACGGUCCAAACUCCUACGGGGGGCAGCAGUGGGGAAUAUUGCACAAUGGGGGGAACCCUGAUGCAGCGACGCCGCGUGAGCGAAGAAGGUUUUCGAAUCGUAAAGCUCUGUCCUAUGAGAAGAUAAUGACGGUAUCAUAGGAGGAAGCCCCGGCUAAAUACGUG
This 478-nucleotide ribosomal RNA is filed under the name uncultured bacterium. Its description in RNAcentral is "partial 16S ribosomal RNA". It matches the Rfam family "Bacterial small subunit ribosomal RNA", at positions 28 to 507 of the family's 1533-position model. The record is from RNAcentral.